This 65-nucleotide transfer RNA is filed under the name Brachystomella parvula. RNAcentral describes it as "tRNA-Ile". Lineage: Eukaryota; Metazoa; Arthropoda; Collembola; Poduromorpha; Brachystomellidae. The record is from RNAcentral.
AAUAAUGUGCCUGAAAAAGGAGUAUUCUGAUGGAAUAAAUUAUAUAGUUUGUGCUAUCAUUAUUA